UACGUAGGUGGCAAGCGUUGUCCGGAUUUAUUGGGUUUAAAGGGUGCGUAGGUGGCCCUGUAAGUCAGUGGUGAAAUAUCUCAGCUUAACUGAGAGGGUGCCAUUGAUACUGCAGGGCUUGAGUACAGAUGAGGUAGGCGGAAUUGACGGUGUAGCGGUGAAAUGCAUAGAUAUCGUCAAGAACACCGAUAGCGAAGGCAGCGUACCAAGCUGUAACUGACACUGAGGCACGAAAGUGUGGGGAUCAAACAGG
Molecule: ribosomal RNA, 253 nt
Filed under: uncultured bacterium
Lineage: Bacteria
Description: partial 16S ribosomal RNA
Rfam family: Bacterial small subunit ribosomal RNA
Source: RNAcentral